RNAcentral lists this ribosomal RNA (243 nucleotides) under uncultured bacterium. RNAcentral's name for it is "partial 16S ribosomal RNA". It matches the Rfam family "Bacterial small subunit ribosomal RNA", at positions 116 to 354 of the family's 1533-position model. The record is from RNAcentral.
CGUGGGUAACCUGCCCAAGAGACUGGGAUAACACCUGGAAACAGAUGCUAAUACCGGAUAACAACACUAGACGCAUGUCUAGAGUUUAAAAGAUGGUUCUGCUAUCACUCUUGGAUGGACCUGCGGUGCAUUAGCUAGUGGUAAGGUAACGGCUUACCAAGGCAAUGAUGCAUAGCCGAGUUGAGAGACUGAUCGGCCACAUUGGGACUGAGACACGGCCCAAACUCCUACGGGAGGCAGCAG